GAUGAACGCUGGCGGCGUGCCUAAUACAUGCAAGUCGAGCGAACAGAUGAGGAGCUUGCUCCUCUGACGUUAGCGGCGGACGGGUGAGUAACACGUGGAUAACCUACCUAUAAGACUGGGAUAACUACGGGAAACCGGAGCUAAUACCGGAUAAUAUAUUGAACCGCAUGGUUCAAUAGUGAAAGACGGUUUUGCUGUCACUUAUAGAUGGAUCCGCGCCGCAUUAGCUAGUUGGUAAGGUAACGGCUUACCAAGGCAACGAUGCGUAGCCGACCUGAGAGGGUGAUCGGCCACCCUGGAACUGAGACACGGUCCAGACUCCGACGGGAGGCAGCAGUAGGGAAUCUUCCGCAAUGGGCGAAAGCCUGACGGAGCAACGCCGCGUGAGUGAUGAAGGUCUUCGGAUCGUAAAACUCUGUUAUUAGGGAAGAACAAAUGUGUAAGUAACUAUGCACGUCUUGACGGUACCUAAUCAGAAAGCCACGGCUAACUACGUG
This 497-nucleotide ribosomal RNA is filed under the name uncultured bacterium. Its description in RNAcentral is "partial 16S ribosomal RNA". It matches the Rfam family "Bacterial small subunit ribosomal RNA", at positions 28 to 507 of the family's 1533-position model. The record is from RNAcentral.